RNAcentral lists this long non-coding RNA (472 nucleotides) under Moschus moschiferus (Siberian musk deer). RNAcentral describes it as "lncRNA (ENSMMSG00000008873.1)". The record is from RNAcentral. Lineage: Eukaryota; Metazoa; Chordata; Mammalia; Artiodactyla; Moschidae.
UCAGCGGCAGCAGAGUGGGUGAGAGUCCAACCUGGGCCUGGGCGCCGGGCUUAAGCCGGCAGCGCCAGGCGGGGAUUUCAGAAGACUGUCUGCGCCGCAAGGGCACUGCAUGCCCGGAAGCUGCGGCACUUCCCGAUUUUCCGCGGCUCUAUAAGGAGUAGCGCUUCGGUAGCCGGGGAGCUGGAGGGGAACCUGAUUUGAGAUCAAUUCUUGGAGAACACAAAGAAGUGUGGUGGUAUGUUCCAGGGUUGAACCAGCUGCCCUUUGACCCUGCCAACAACAACGAGCCCCUGCAGUUUGGUAGUGCCAGUGGCCCUCUGGUCACAGAAGGCCUCAUUGAGAAUGGAGGGGAGUCAAGCAAGAAAAGAAAGAGAACAAAUGCUCCUUCAGGUAAGCUAGGCAAUAAUCCAUGCUCUUAGGCCAGUGCCACUGAGUCAACACUCUCCCAGAGCCUUGUAUGUGGUGGGCACUG